UACGUAGGUGGCAAGCGUUGUCCGGAUUUAUUGGGUUUAAAGGGUGCGUAGGCGGUCUUUUAAGUCAGUGGUGAAAUACGGCAGCUCAACUGUCGAGGUGCCAUUGAUACUGGGAGACUUGAGUACUGAUGAGGUAGGCGGAAUGGACGGUGUAGCGGUGAAAUGCGUAGAUAUCGGAAGGAACACCAGUGGCGAAGGCGGCUUCCUGGGCUAAUACUGACACUGAGGUGCGAAAGCGUGGGGAGCAAACAGG
This 253-nucleotide ribosomal RNA is filed under the name uncultured bacterium. Its description in RNAcentral is "partial 16S ribosomal RNA". It matches the Rfam family "Bacterial small subunit ribosomal RNA", at positions 524 to 776 of the family's 1533-position model. The record is from RNAcentral.